GAAGGGGGCUAGCGUUGCUCGGAAUCACUGGGCGUAAAGGGCGCGUAGGCGGCCGAUUAAGUCGGGGGUGAAAGCCUGUGGCUCAACCACAGAAUUGCCUUCGAUACUGGUUGGCUUGAGACCGGAAGAGGACAGCGGAACUGCGAGUGUAGAGGUGAAAUUCGUAGAUAUUCGCAAGAACACCAGUGGCGAAGGCGGCUGUCUGGUCCGGUUCUGACGCUGAGGCGCGAAAGCGUGGGGAGCAACAGGAUUAAUACCUGGUAGUCCACGCCGUAAACGAUGAAUGCCACCGUUGGCCUGCUUGCAGGUCAGUGGCGCCGUAACGCAUUAAGCAUUC
RNAcentral lists this ribosomal RNA (337 nucleotides) under uncultured Methylobacterium sp. RNAcentral describes it as "bacterial SSU rRNA". It matches the Rfam family "Bacterial small subunit ribosomal RNA", at positions 527 to 869 of the family's 1533-position model. Lineage: Bacteria; Pseudomonadati; Pseudomonadota; Alphaproteobacteria; Hyphomicrobiales; Methylobacteriaceae. The record is from RNAcentral.